This 460-nucleotide ribosomal RNA is filed under the name uncultured bacterium. RNAcentral describes it as "partial 16S ribosomal RNA". It matches the Rfam family "Bacterial small subunit ribosomal RNA", at positions 338 to 795 of the family's 1533-position model. The record is from RNAcentral.
CCUACGGGGUGCUGCAGUGAGGAAUAUUGGUCAAUGGGCGGAAGCCUGAACCAGCCAAGUAGCGUGCAGGAUGACGGCCCUACGGGUUGUAAACUGCUUUUAUACGGGAAUCACGCGCCUUACGUGUAGUGCUUUUCAUGUACCGUAUGAAUAAGGAACGGAUAAUUCCGUGCAAGACGCCGCGGUAAUACGGACGGUCCGGGGGUUAUCCGGAUUUAUUGGGGUUCAAGGGAGCUUAGGCCGCAUGUCAAGCGUCCUGUGAAAUGGUCGGGCUCAACCCGGGCCUUGCAGAGCGAAAUGGCGUGCUUGAGUGCGCGGAAAGCAGGCGGAAUUCGUCGUGUAGUGGUGAAAUGCUUAGAUAUGACGAAGAACCCCGAUUGCGAAGGCAGCUUGCUGCAGCGGAACUGACGCUGAUGCUCGAAAGCGCGGGUAUCGAACAGGAUUAGAUACCCUUGUAGUC